Molecule: long non-coding RNA, 454 nt
Organism: Anolis carolinensis (green anole)
Lineage: Eukaryota; Metazoa; Chordata; Lepidosauria; Squamata; Anolidae
Exons: 2
Source: RefSeq, a predicted model, not a curated record
GGGACACAGCUUGGCUCUCAACAGAUUAUAGAGAGAGGUAAAACUGAGAGACCUGCAAGAGAAAGAAAGACAAUACAAAAUCGUCAGACGAUGUUCUGGUAGCAGCAAAAAUGAGAGGUUCCAGUUUCCAGCUCCUUGCCUUGACUUCUGAAUCCGUGCCGAGUUUCCAGUUCCAGGAGAGCUGCGCCGAGCCGCGACUCCCGAGUAGACCUUGCCUUGUUACCGUGACUUCCUUGUUCCUGAAGCGAGAUUGACUUCGCUUUGUUUACCUUGCUCCUUUGACUUUGCUACAGGACUUUCCAAGUGGAUUUACAGUGUUUGUUUUCCAAUAUUGUUUCAUGGACAAAUUUUGAUAUCUAAGGGAAGCUAUCAAGCUACACUUGUGGAUUACAAAUUGGACAUUGAUGAACUCUUUCUGAAUUACAAUAAACUAUAUUUUAUGGACUAUUUCUUA